Molecule: unclassified non-coding RNA, 329 nt
Filed under: soil metagenome
Description: partial contains 5.8S ribosomal RNA, internal transcribed spacer 2, and large subunit ribosomal RNA
Rfam family: 5.8S ribosomal RNA (bases 1-120)
Source: RNAcentral
GAUGAAGAACGCAGCGAAAUGCGAUAAGUAAUGUGAAUUGCAGAAUUCAGUGAAUCAUCGAAUCUUUGAACGCACAUUGCGCCCCUUGGUAUUCCGAGGGGCAUGCCUGUUCGAGCGUCAUUAUAACCCCUCAAGCUCAGCUUGGUGUUGGGGCCUGCUGCACUGGCAGCCCUUAAAAUCAGUGGCGGCGCCGUCUGGCUCUAAGCGUAGUAAGUCUUCUCGCUAUGGAGUCCUGGUGGAUGCUUGCCAUCAACCCCCAAUUUUUCUAUGGUUGACCUCGGAUCAGGUAGGGAUACCCGCUGAACUUAAGCAUAUCAAUCAGCGGAGGA